Molecule: ribosomal RNA, 460 nt
Filed under: uncultured bacterium
Lineage: Bacteria
Description: partial 16S ribosomal RNA
Rfam family: Bacterial small subunit ribosomal RNA
Source: RNAcentral
CCUACGGGCGGCAGCAGUGAGGAAUAUUGGUCAAUGGGCGGAAGCCUGAACCAGCCAAGUCGCGUGAGGGAAUAAGGCCCUACGGGUCGUAAACCUCUUUUGCCGGGGAGCAAGGUCGGGGACGUGUCCCGUCCCGGAGAGUACCCGGAGAAAAAGCAUCGGCUAACUCCGUGCCAGCAGCCGCGGUAAUACGGAGGAUGCGAGCGUUAUCCGGAUUUAUUGGGUUUAAAGGGUGCUUAGGCGGGCUUUUAAGUCAGCGGUAAAAAUUCGGGGCUCAACCCCGUCCGGCCGUUGAAACUGGGGGCCUUGAGUGGGCGAGAAGAAGGCGGAAUGCGUGGUGUAGCGGUGAAAUGCAUAGAUAUCACGCAGAACCCCGAUUGCGAAGGCAGCCUUCCGGAGCCCUACUGACGCUGAGGCACGAAAGUGCGGGGAUCGAACAGGAUUAGAUACCCCUGUAGUC